Molecule: ribosomal RNA, 4130 nt
Organism: Drosophila biarmipes
Lineage: Eukaryota; Metazoa; Arthropoda; Insecta; Diptera; Drosophilidae
Source: RefSeq, a predicted model, not a curated record
CAACCUCAACUCAUAUGGGACUACCCCCUGAAUUUAAGCAUAUUAAUUAGGGGAGGAAAAGAAACUAACAAGGAUUUUCUUAGUAGCGGCGAGCGAAAAGAAAUCAGUUCAGCACUAAGUCACUUUGUCUAUAUGGCAAAUGUGAGAUGCAGUGUAUGGAGCGUCAAUAUUCUAGUAUGAGAAAUUAACGAUUUAAGUCCUUCUUAAAUGAGGCCAUUUACCCAUAGAGGGUGCCAGGCCCGUAUAACGUUAAUGAUUACUAGAUGAUGUUUCCAAAGAGUCGUGUUGCUUGAUAGUGCAGCACUAAGUGGGUGGUAAACUCCAUCUAAAACUAAAUAUAACCAUGAGACCGAUAGUAAACAAGUACCGUGAGGGAAAGUUGAAAAGAACUCUGAAUAGAGAGUUAAACAGUACGUGAAACUGCUUAGAGGUUAAGCCCGAUGAACCUGAAUAUCCGUUAUGGAAAAUUCAUCAUUAGAAUUGUAAUAUUUAAACAAUAUUAUGAUAAUAGUGUGCAUUUUUUCCAUAUAAGGACAUUGUAAUCUAUUAGCAUACCAAAUUUAUCAUAAAAUAUAACUUAUAGUUUAUUCAAAUUAAUUUGCUUGCAUUUUAACACAGAAUAAAUGUUAUUAAUUUGAUAAAGUGCUGAUAGAUUUAUAUGAAUACAGUGCGUUAAUUUUUCGGAAUUAUAUAAUGGCAUAAUUAUCAUUGAUUUUUGUGUUUAUUAUAUGCACUUGUAGGAUUAACAAUGCGAAAGAUUCAGGAUACCUUCGGGACCCGUCUUGAAACACGGACCAAGGAGUCUAACAUAUGUGCAAGUUAUUGGGAUAUAAACCUAAUAGCGUAAUUAACUUGACUAAUAAUGGGAUUAGUUUUUUAACUAUUUAUAGCUAAUUAACACAAUCCCGGGGCGUUCUAUAUAGUUAUGUAUAAUGAUAUUUAUAUUAUUUAUGCCUCUAACUGGAACGUACCUUGAGCAUAUAUGCUGUGACCCGAAAGAUGGUGAACUAUACUUGAUCAGGUUGAAGUCAGGGGAAACCCUGAUGGAAGACCGAAACAGUUCUGACGUGCAAAUCGAUUGUCAGAAUUGAGUAUAGGGGCGAAAGACCAAUCGAACCAUCUAGUAGCUGGUUCCUUCCGAAGUUUCCCUCAGGAUAGCUGGUGCAUUUUAAUAUUAUAUAAAAUAAUCUUAUCUGGUAAAGCGAAUGAUUAGAGGCCUUAGGGUCGAAACGAUCUUAACCUAUUCUCAAACUUUAAAUGGGUAAGAACCUUAACUUUCUUGAUAUGAAGUUCAAGGUUAUGAUAUAAUGUGCCCAGUGGGCCACUUUUGGUAAGCAGAACUGGCGCUGUGGGAUGAACCAAACGUAAUGUUACGGUGCCCAAAUUAACAACUCAUGCAGAUACCAUGAAAGGCGUUGGUUGCUUAAAACAGCAGGACGGUGAUCAUGGAAGUCGAAAUCCGCUAAGGAGUGUGUAACAACUCACCUGCCGAAGCAACUAGCCCUUAAAAUGGAUGGCGCUUAAGUUGUAUACCUAUACAUUACCGCUAAAGUAGAUGAUUUAUAUUACUUGUAAUAUAAAUUUUGAAACUUUAGUGAGUAGGAAGGUACAAUGGUAUGCGUAGAAGUGUUUGGCGUAAGCCUGCAUGGAGCUGCCAUUGGUACAGAUCUUGGUGGUAGUAGCAAAUAAUCGAAUGAGACCUUGGAGGACUGAAGUGGAGAAGGGUUUCGUGUGAACAGUGGUUGAUCACGAGUUAGUCGGUCCUAAGUUCAAGGCGAAAGCCGAAAAUUUUCAAGUAAAAUACAAAUGCCAAACAAAUAUAUAUAUUAUAUAAAAUCUAGCUAAAUUAAUAUACUUGAAUAAUUUUGAACGAAAGGGAAUACGGUUCCAAUUCCGUAACCUGUUGAGUAUCCGUUUGUUAUUAAAUAUGGGCCUCGUGCUCAUCCUGGCAACAGGAACGACCAUAAAGAAGCCGUCGAGAGAUAUCGGAAGAGUUUUCUUUUCUGUUUUAUAGCCGUACUACCAUGGAAGUCUUUCGCAGAGAGAUAUGGUAGAUGGGCUAGAAGAGCAUGACAUAUACUGUUGUGUCGAUAUUUUCUCCUCGGACCUUGAAAAUUUAUGGUGGGGACACGCAAACUUCUCAACAGGCCGUACCAAUAUCCGCAGCUGGUCUCCAAGGUGAAGAGUCUCUAGUCGAUAGAAUAAUGUAGGUAAGGGAAGUCGGCAAAUUAGAUCCGUAACUUCGGGAUAAGGAUUGGCUCUGAAGAUUGAGAUAGUCGGGCUUGAUUGGGAAACAAUAACAUGGUUUAUGUGCUCGUUCUGGGUAAAUAGAGUUUCUAGCAUUUAUGUUAGUUACUUGUUCCCCGGAUAGUUUAGUUACGUAGCCAAUUGUGGAACUUUCUUGCUAAAAUUUUUAAGAAUACUAAUUGGGUUAAACCAAUUAGUUCUUAUUAAUUAUAACGAUUAUCAAUUAACAAUCAAUUCAGAACUGGCACGGACUUGGGGAAUCCGACUGUCUAAUUAAAACAAAGCAUUGUGAUGGCCCUAGCGGGUGUUGACACAAUGUGAUUUCUGCCCAGUGCUCUGAAUGUCAAAGUGAAGAAAUUCAAGUAAGCGCGGGUCAACGGCGGGAGUAACUAUGACUCUCUUAAGGUAGCCAAAUGCCUCGUCAUCUAAUUAGUGACGCGCAUGAAUGGAUUAACGAGAUUCCUACUGUCCCUAUCUAGCUUCUAGUCCAGGGCGUUGGUUUGGCGCUUAACCCAGACCCUUGCAUUAUAUACUCCCUUGUGGGUAUAUUAGAAUGCCGUGGCUGUAAUCCCUUCAGUGCGGAACACGUCACGUUAAAUAAGUUCGGAGGGAUCCGAGACACACCUGUCCCUAUCUACUAUCUAGCGAAACCACAGCCAAGGGAACGGGCUUGGAAUAAUUAGCGGGGAAAGAAGACCCUUUUGAGCUUGACUCUAAUCUGGCAGUGUAAGGAGACAUAAGAGGUGUAGAAUAAGUGGGAGAUAUUAGACCUCGGUUUGGUAUCGCCAAUGAAAUACCACUACUCUUAUUGUUUCCUUACUUACUUGAUUAAAUGGAACGUGUAUCAUUUCCUAGCCAUUAUACGGAUAUAUUUAUUAUAUCUUAUGGUAUUGGGUUUUGAUGCAAGCUUCUUGAUCAAAGUAUCACGAGUUUGUUAUAUAAUCGCAAACAAAUUCUUUAAUAAAACGGUGCAUUUAUGUAUUUUUGAUUUGAAAAUUUGGUAUAACUCCAAUUACUCAGGUAUGAUCCAAUUCAAGGACAUUGCCAGGUAGGGAGUUUGACUGGGGCGGUACAUCUCUCAAAUAAUAACGGAGGUGUCCCAAGGCCAGCUCAGUGCGGACAGAAACCACACAUAGAGCAAAAGGGCAAAUGCUGACUUGAUCUCGGUGUUCAGUACACACAGGGACAGCAAAAGCUCGGCCUAUCGAUCCUUUUGGUUUAAAGAGUUUUUAACAAGAGGUGUCAGAAAAGUUACCAUAGGGAUAACUGGCUUGUGGCGGCCAAGCGUUCAUAGCGACGUCGCUUUUUGAUCCUUCGAUGUCGGCUCUUCCUAUCAUUGUGAAGCAAAAUUCACCAAGCGUUGGAUUGUUCACCCAUGCAAGGGAACGUGAGCUGGGUUUAGACCGUCGUGAGACAGGUUAGUUUUACCCUACUAAUGACAAAACGUUGUUGCGACAGCAUUCCUGCGUAGUACGAGAGGAACCGCAGGUACGGACCAAUGGCACAAUACUUGUUCGAGCGAACAGUGGUAUGACGCUACGUCCGUUGGAUUAUGCCUGAACGCCUCUAAGGUCGUAUCCGUGCUGGACUGCAAUGAUAAAUAAGGGGCAAUUUGCAUUGUAUGGCUUCUAAACCAUUUAAAGUUUAUAAUUUACUUUUUAAACGACAAUGGAUGUGAUGCCAAUGUAAUUUGUAACAUAGUAAAUUGGGAGGAUCUUUGAUCACCUGAUGCCGCGCUAGUUACAUAUAAAAGCAUUAUUUAAUACAAUGACAAAGCCUAGAAUCAAUUGUAAACGACUUUUGUAACAGGCAAGGUGUUGUAAGUGGUUGAGCAGCUGCCAUACUGCGAUCCACUGAAGCUUAUCCUUUGCUUGAUGAUUCGA